This 215-nucleotide long non-coding RNA is filed under the name Prunus persica (peach). Its description in RNAcentral is "long non-coding RNA (PPER_LNC002488)". Lineage: Eukaryota; Viridiplantae; Streptophyta; Magnoliopsida; Rosales; Rosaceae. The record is from RNAcentral.
AGAACUCUUCCUUCUAAAAGUCGAAAGAAAGUAUACAUACGGACGACCCGUCAUCUCCAUGAACCAACCAAUGCAUGUCUCCGUGUGCAUAUGUGGACUUGCAGGUUGGAAAGCAGGGAGGAACUGUGUGUAACUCCCGCCAUGAGCUUGUCCCCAAUACAAGAACUUCGGCCGCCAAGUAGUCUUUUUUAUUGGUGGAAACACGAACAAUCUUG